Molecule: long non-coding RNA, 265 nt
Filed under: Vigna radiata
Lineage: Eukaryota; Viridiplantae; Streptophyta; Magnoliopsida; Fabales; Fabaceae
Description: long non-coding RNA (VRAD_LNC002386)
Source: RNAcentral
GCCUGAACAUGUUAUUGCUAUUUUAUCCAUUUAUUUCAUAAUUUACGCUGAUUAAGAGACAUCUGUGGUGUCCCUACCAAUUCAGCCAGCUCAAAUGUCUAUGUGGGCUAAAGUUUCCAACAUUGCUGAUUCGGUGUCAUGACUCAUGGGCAAACGUCCAAGAUUAAUUGCAGUACCUACCGAUUUAGAUCAUAUGUCGUCAAAAGUUUCUUACUCAUUCAAAUCUCAUAAUUGUUCGGUCCUACGUAACUUUAUUUAACCAACU